CGAAAUAUGCCCCUGUAUGGCGUCGAAAUGUAUGAUAAGUCGGAGAUCAGAUAGCAUGGAAUCAUCUAUCCUCGAACAUGUGACCUCUGCGAAGAUCCGUAAAUCUCACCCAAAACGGAAAUAUGCCCCAGUAUGGCAUCAGGUGCGUGACAGGUCCGAAGAACAAAUGUCAUGAAAUCAUCCAUCAUCGCACAAGCAACCUCCAUGAAAGUCCGUAAAUCUCAUCCGAAACGGAAAUAUGCCCCAGUAUGGCAUCAGGUGCGUGACAGGUCCGAAGAACAAAUGUCAUGAAAUCAUCCAUCAUCGCACAUGCGACCUCCAUGAAAGUCCGUAAAUCUCAUCCGAAACG
RNAcentral lists this long non-coding RNA (349 nucleotides) under Vitis vinifera (wine grape). Its description in RNAcentral is "long non-coding RNA (VVIN_LNC005705)". The record is from RNAcentral. Lineage: Eukaryota; Viridiplantae; Streptophyta; Magnoliopsida; Vitales; Vitaceae.